This 449-nucleotide ribosomal RNA is filed under the name uncultured bacterium. RNAcentral describes it as "partial 16S ribosomal RNA". It matches the Rfam family "Bacterial small subunit ribosomal RNA", at positions 29 to 523 of the family's 1533-position model. The record is from RNAcentral.
AACGAACGCUGGCGGCAGGCUUAACACAUGCAAGUCGAACGCAUCCUUCGGGGUGAGUGGCAGACGGGUGAGUAACGCGUGGGAACGUGCCCUUCAGUUCGGGAUAACUCAGGGAAACUUGGGCUAAUACCGGAUACGUGCGAGAGCAGAAAGAUUUAUCGCUGAAGGAUCGGCCCGCGUCUGAUUAGCUAGUUGGUGGGGUAAUGGCCCACAAAGGCGACGAUCAGUAGCUGGUCUGAGAGGAUGAUCAGCCACAUUGGGACUGAGACACGGCCCAAACUCCUCCGGGAGGCAGCAGUGGGGAAUAUUGGACAAGGGGCGCAAGCCUGAUCCAGCCAUGCCGCGGGAGUGAUGAAGGCCUUAGGGUUGUAAAGCUCUUUCGUCCGGGACGAUAAUGACGGUACCGGAAGAAGAAGCCCCGGCUAACUUCGUGCCAGCCGCCGCCGUAA